UACGUAGGUGGCGAGCGUUGUCCGGAUUUACUGGGCGUAAAGAGCGCGCAGGCGGUCUUGCAAGUCGCGUGUGAAAGCCCCCGGCUCAACUGGGGAGGGUCACGCGAUACUGCUCGACUCGAAGGCAGGAGAGGGAAGUGGAAUUCCCGGUGUAGUGGUGAAAUGCGUAGAUAUCGGGAGGAACACCAGUGGCGAAGGCGACUUCCUGGCCUGUUCUUGACGCUGAGGCGCGAAAGCUAGGGUAGCAAACGGG
Molecule: ribosomal RNA, 253 nt
Filed under: uncultured bacterium
Lineage: Bacteria
Description: partial 16S ribosomal RNA
Rfam family: Bacterial small subunit ribosomal RNA
Source: RNAcentral